UACAGGGGGUGCAAACGUUGCUCGGAAUUACUGGGCGUAAAGCGCGCGUAGGCGGACCUGCAAGUCGGGGGUGAAAGCCCGAGGCUCAACCUCGGAACUGCCUUCGAUACUGCGGGUCUCGAGUCCGGGAGAGGUGAGUGGAAUUCCUAGUGUAGAGGUGAAAUUCGUAGAUAUUAGGAAGAACACCAGUGGCGAAGGCGGCUCACUGGCUCGGUACUGACGCUGAGGCGCGAAAGCGUGGGGAGCAAACAGG
RNAcentral lists this ribosomal RNA (253 nucleotides) under uncultured bacterium. Its description in RNAcentral is "partial 16S ribosomal RNA". It matches the Rfam family "Bacterial small subunit ribosomal RNA", at positions 524 to 776 of the family's 1533-position model. The record is from RNAcentral.